UCGAUCCCGUACGAUCACUAAAGUUCAGCAACGUCGAGCCUGGUCAGUACCUAGAUGGGUGACUGUUUGGGAAUGCCAGGUGAUGUAA
Molecule: non-coding RNA, 88 nt
Organism: Acanthosepion pharaonis
Lineage: Eukaryota; Metazoa; Mollusca; Cephalopoda; Sepiida; Sepiidae
Source: the annotation of a GenBank genome assembly